This 620-nucleotide ribosomal RNA is filed under the name Saccharomyces cerevisiae (brewer's yeast). Its description in RNAcentral is "eukaryotic LSU rRNA". It matches the Rfam family "Eukaryotic large subunit ribosomal RNA", at positions 37 to 671 of the family's 3401-position model. Lineage: Eukaryota; Fungi; Ascomycota; Saccharomycetes; Saccharomycetales; Saccharomycetaceae. The record is from RNAcentral.
UGCAUAUCAAUAAGCGGAGGAAAAGAAACCAACCGGGAUUGCCUUAGUAACGGCGAGUGAAGCGGCAAAAGCUCAAAUUUGAAAUCUGGUACCUUCGGUGCCCGAGUUGUAAUUUGGAGAGGGCAACUUUGGGGCCGUUCCUUGUCUAUGUUCCUUGGAACAGGACGUCAUAGAGGGUGAGAAUCCCGUGUGGCGAGGAGUGCGGUUCUUUGUAAAGUGCCUUCGAAGAGUCGAGUUGUUUGGGAAUGCAGCUCUAAGUGGGUGGUAAAUUCCAUCUAAAGCUAAAUAUUGGCGAGAGACCGAUAGCGAACAAGUACAGUGAUGGAAAGAUGAAAAGAACUUUGAAAAGAGAGUGAAAAAGUACGUGAAAUUGUUGAAAGGGAAGGGCAUUUGAUCAGACAUGGUGUUUUGUGCCCUCUGCUCCUUGUGGGUAGGGGAAUCUCGCAUUUCACUGGGCCAGCAUCAGUUUUGGUGGCAGGAUAAAUCCAUAGGAAUGUAGCUUGCCUCGGUAAGUAUUAUAGCCUGUGGGAAUACUGCCAGCUGGGACUGAGGACUGCGACGUAAGUCAAGGAUGCUGGCAUAAUGGUUAUAUGCCGCCCGUCUUGAAACACGGACCAAAA